AAGGGCCAAGAAAAUAGCAAACUGGGAAGAAUGGAAUAAGCGUUUAGAAGAAGUGAAGCGGCAAGAACAAGAACUUCUGGAAACCCAAUCAAUUCCACUGAGAAACUACUUAAUGAAGCAUGUGAUGCCAACACUUAUGCAAGGCUUGAAUCAAUGUUGCAUGGUUAGGCCAGAUGACCCGGUUGACUUUCUGGCAGAAUAUCUCUUCAAGAAUAAUCCGGAAUUUGAGUAAGAAGUCUAAACAGUUGCCCUGUUAUGUCUUGUUAAAUUUAAUGUUAAUGAUUGUUGUGUAAUACUGUUGUAAAAUAUACAUUCACUAAUUUACUUUUUUUUAAAAAAUAGAAAUCUAAAGUUUGAAGAUAUGUACAUUUAUCUAAAAUGAAUGAAAAUUUAUAGAAUAUCUCGUAAAUUGCAGAAUAUUCCUUGAACACAUUUAAAGAAAAAGUUUCAAAAUUAUUGUUCUUAGAAAAGUAACUAUGGUUAUCAAGUUUAUGACAACAUGUACUUAAGCUAUGUAAUAAAGGAAAAGAAGAAUA
Molecule: non-coding RNA, 536 nt
Organism: Thamnophis sirtalis
Lineage: Eukaryota; Metazoa; Chordata; Lepidosauria; Squamata; Natricidae
Source: RefSeq, a predicted model, not a curated record